CAGUUGUCUAUAUAAAGAGUAUCCUUAUUAAGUUUGGGAAUCAAAGUAAUUACACCUUGUUUUAAGGAUGCCAGGAACUCCCCAUUUUCUAUUGAUUCUUGAAACAUAGCAAGAAUGAAAGGAAUCAAUUUAUCAUUGAAUGCUUUAUAAAACUCGCUUAUUAAACCAUCAUUUCCAGGGGACCUAUUGUCCUUAAGGCUUUUAAUACAGUCUUUUAUCUCAAUUUCAGAUAACUCAUCAUCACAAAAAUCCCUGAAAUCAUUAUCUAUCUUAGCAAUGUUUGCAACACGUCAUGCUCUUAUCAACUGAGCUACGAAGGAGCACGUCGAAGUCACUAGAAUGAUGACAAGCCAUUUUAACGGAUUCUAAAGGGAAUCAGAAUUCCAAACUAAUUUCUAUGGCAACACAGUUGUCAAUUUUGUAAACAAUCAUUUUCGAACGUGUGUUGCCAAGAGACAUCUAACUGACGUUCUAUGGAACGUUUUCUGUGCGAAAACAAAAAUUUUGCUGCUGACAACAAACUUGUUUGAUUUUUGAGACCUGAGAACAAUCGACUGGAAAAUGCCUGGGUGCUUUUCAAGACUGGCGGAGAGAGUGCAUGGACGUCGGCGGCCUACUGCGUCGACAGGUUGUUCAAAUUCAUUUGUGGCUUGUUUUUCUUGUCUUUUUCUGUUUUGCAGGGUUCGUGAUCGUCGACAGCGACAGCGACUUCGAAGAGGAAACAACUGUCCUGGAUGAGGUCCAGUUGGAUGUGCCAUUGGAUGAUGUGCCAGAUGUUCCACAGCUGCCAGUCCUCCUUGAUGUCCAGAAUGCUGCUAUCAUCCUUGAGGAUGUGCCAGAUGUGCAGACUAUCCUUGAGGAGGCCACUGGCAUUUGGCAGUUGAUUCUGAUUAGGUUCAGCCCCCAGUACUGUGGGCCUGUUGUGAUCAGGGU
Molecule: long non-coding RNA, 933 nt
Organism: Oncorhynchus kisutch (coho salmon)
Lineage: Eukaryota; Metazoa; Chordata; Actinopteri; Salmoniformes; Salmonidae
Exons: 3
Source: RefSeq, a predicted model, not a curated record